GGGAAGCUCCGCCGCCGCCAUCUCAGUCCACAUCGCCGCCGUCACCACACCACCAUGGCCGGUGCUGGAUCGAGUUCGUCCGCACCAGGAGAAGGAGGCUUUCACUUGAUGAGUUGCCUAAAAGAAGUUCCGACACUCAGAGGUGACAACCACACUGAGUGGAGGAAGAAAGUUGAACUGGCAUUUAUUUGUGCUGAUCUUGACUGGGUUGUGGUGAAACCACAGCCGGUCAGACCCACAGAGCCAGUAAGAGAGGCUACUGAUGAUGAUGCUGCAUGGGCUAAAAAGAAGGGGGACUAUGCUCCUUUGGAGCAGUCCUACCUCAUAGAUAACCAAAAGUGGGUCAAUGCAAACAAAAAGUGCAUGGCUUUUAUAAAGAAUACAAUUGAGAGCGCCAUUGUGGGCUCCAUUCCAGAGUGCACUUCCGCAGGGGAGUUGCUUACAAAGAUAAAGAGCCAGUUCACUGGCUCUUCAAAGAUCUAUGCCACCCAGGUGUUAGAGCAACUGGUGACAGAACGCUACACAGGUGGUAGUCUUGGAAUAAGAGAGCACAUCCUCAGGAUGAGUAAUAUGGCAGCAAAGCUCAAGCCCAUGGAUGCGGAUCUGGAGAUCAAACCAGCACUCCUGGUCCACCUGGUCAUGGCUUCACUGCCACAGGAGUUUGCAACUUUUGUUGUAAACUAUAAUAUGUCACCUGGAACAUGGGACAUUGAAAAGACAAUAGCAAUGUGUGUC
RNAcentral lists this ribosomal RNA (735 nucleotides) under Triticum aestivum (bread wheat). Its description in RNAcentral is "partial small subunit ribosomal RNA". Lineage: Eukaryota; Viridiplantae; Streptophyta; Magnoliopsida; Poales; Poaceae. The record is from RNAcentral.